This 253-nucleotide ribosomal RNA is filed under the name uncultured bacterium. Its description in RNAcentral is "partial 16S ribosomal RNA". It matches the Rfam family "Bacterial small subunit ribosomal RNA", at positions 524 to 776 of the family's 1533-position model. The record is from RNAcentral.
UACGGAGGGUCCAAGCGUUGUCCGGAAUCACUGGGUGUAAAGGGUGCGUAGGCGGACUCGUAAGUCAGGGGUGAAAGCCCGCGGCUCAACCGCGGAACUGCCUCUGAUACUGCGAGCCUUGAGUCCUGGAGGGGCUGGCGGAAUUCGUGGUGUAGCGGUGAAAUGCGUAGAUAUCAGGAGGAAUACCGGUGGCGAAGGCGGCCUUCUGGACGAUGACUGACGCUGAGACGCGAAAGCGUGGGGAGCAAACAGG